GAUCCUGGCUCAGAAUCAACGCUGGCGGCGCGCUUAACACAUGCAAGUCGCACGAGAAAGCCCGCAAGGGUGAGUACAGUGGCGUACGGGUGAGUAACACGUGGAUGAUCUACCUUCUAGCGGGGAAUAACCCUGGGAAACCGGGGCUAAUACCGCAUAAGCUCGAGAGAGGAAAGCAGCAAUGCGCUGGAAGAGGAGUCCGCGGCCGAUUAGCUAGUUGGCAGGGUAAAAGCCUACCAAGGCGGAGAUCGGUAGCCGGCCUGAGAGGGCACACGGCCACACUGGCACUGAAACACGGGCCAGACUCCUACGGGAGGCAGCAGUGGGGAAUCUUGCACAAUGGGGGAAACCCUGAUGCAGCGACGCCGCGUGAGCGAUGAAGCCCUUCGGGGUGUAAAGCUCUUUCGGCAGGGAAGAUGAUGACGGUACCUGCAGAAGCAGCUGCGGCUAACUACGUGCCAGCAGCCGCGGUAAUACGUAGGCAGCGAGCGUUGUUCGGAGUUACUGGGCGUAAAGGGUGUGUAGGCGGUUGUUUAAGUUUGGUGUGAAAUCUCCCGGCUCAACUGGGAGGGUGCGCCGAAUACUGAAUGACUUGGAGUGCGGGAGAGGAAAGUGGAAUUCCUGGUGUAGCGGUGAAAUGCGUAGAUAUCAGGAGGAACACCGGUGGUGUAGACGGCUUUCUGGACCGUA
Molecule: ribosomal RNA, 690 nt
Filed under: uncultured Acidobacteriota bacterium
Lineage: Bacteria; Pseudomonadati; Acidobacteriota
Description: bacterial SSU rRNA
Rfam family: Bacterial small subunit ribosomal RNA
Source: RNAcentral